GGGCGAGUUGACACAGGUAAAAUUGUCAGUGGCCCUCCUGAACGUGGACUCUUCAACUGGCAGAGUUUUGAAGGAACCUGUGGUGACUGGAGCAAGUAAAGAUCGAGGGGCUUCAAAGUCAGAAGACGCGGACGGUAGCCCUCCAGUACCAGAUCAUCCCAAAGAAUCCCUCACUAGCGACUCUGAUUCCUCAGUUCCUGGGCCACGAAGUACUGACCUUUCCUCUCUUACCCACACCCCUUCAGAUAGAUUUUCGAGCGACCUUAGAUCAGGGUGUGGGGGGCAACAGUUCCUCAAGAGACCACCCCCUAAGAAAGACAGGGAACCCACCACUAAGCGCCCCAAGCUACAUUUUAACCACUUCCCAUAAAUGAAGAGUCAUUGGUCAGACGUGUUCCUCCCACUCAUUGUGGGAGGAAUGUCUGCUGUUCCCUUUAUCUGGUGUUUAAUUUUUAGAACCCUUUACCUACCAAUAGAAUGUGACUGGAGAUGCUGGAUUUUUGUAUAUGGAUCAAUGAUUUGGCACAUAACCAUGUUUAUGUCACUAUUGUUUAAACAUAAACAUGGGAUGAUUGGCUGGUUUAAGUUGUGUAGUGCAGUUGCCAUAUGUCUGAUUAUAGUUUUGGCUCUUUUAGAACAAUACUGCCCAUAUGAGAUGUACAUUGUUCCUGUUAUAUUCAUAAUAAAUAUAGUUUUGCUUUCCA
RNAcentral lists this long non-coding RNA (704 nucleotides) under synthetic construct. RNAcentral's name for it is "ncORF59-01". The record is from RNAcentral.